This 425-nucleotide long non-coding RNA is filed under the name Pongo abelii (Sumatran orangutan). RNAcentral's name for it is "lncRNA (ENSPPYG00000040222.1)". Lineage: Eukaryota; Metazoa; Chordata; Mammalia; Primates; Hominidae. The record is from RNAcentral.
ACUAGGAUGAUCCUGUGCUCUAUGAUGUCAGCAUAACUUCUGGUUAUGAAGGUGAGAGGAUCCCAGGUAUAAUGUCUGAAAAGGUGUACCUCUUGCUUUGUAAUUAUAGGAGACCACUCUCAGGGGAGAGUAGUGUUUCUUUAUUGCAAACAUAGUUUAUUUACUGAGAAACCAAGGUUUAUUUUCUUCGUCCUUUAGUCUCUAGAUGAAGAAUGACGUGGUUUCAAGGCCUUUGGGAGCUGAACUAUUCCAGGAUCUGAUACAUGCAGCAGGACCAGCGUGUCCCAGGAUAUGGCAAUCACUGUUCUCUGGCUAAACCUACAGACAUUUGGAAUCCCUCUGUAUUAGUGUUCUCCAGAGAAACAGAAACAAUAGGAUCUGUUAUGAUAUCUGGAGGUGAAGUGGGACCAAGAUACACAGUUUGA